Castor canadensis (American beaver) is the source of this 336-nucleotide non-coding RNA. The record is from RefSeq and is a predicted model, not a curated record. Lineage: Eukaryota; Metazoa; Chordata; Mammalia; Rodentia; Castoridae.
AGACUGGCAAGUCCUAAGACGGUCCCUUCACUGCACGCACCCACGAUGACAGCACGUCUUCCAUCUGUCCCAAAGGCUCUGGCUCCGUCCUUCUCAGCCUUCAGAGGUGGAGUCCAUUUCUCUGCCCUCUGGAUUCUGGGCUGGCCUACGAUCGAUUGAACCAAUACCAAGUGGGAGAAGUGAUGCUGUGGACUGGCAGCUUCUGUUUCCUGCCUUUUGCAACUCAGUUGCCACACUGUGAGGAAGCUCACGCAGCCCCGUGGACGUCCUUAUAGAGGUUGGCUGACCCUCUAAGCUGAUGGUCCAGAGGGCGAAGACCACCUGCCCUAAGCUCCC